Non-coding RNA from Oryctolagus cuniculus (rabbit), 2820 nucleotides. Lineage: Eukaryota; Metazoa; Chordata; Mammalia; Lagomorpha; Leporidae. The record is from RefSeq and is a predicted model, not a curated record.
GUUGUUGGGGUCAUGCUUCCACAGUUAAAAGAGCUGUGUGUAGCACAGCUGCUCCCUGUCUGCUUCCUGGCUACCCCUGUCAUCCUGUAUAUGCUCCACUAUCCAUCAACUUCUUCAUAUACAAGACCAGUGAGCCACCUGACCUUAGCCUGUGAACCUACAAAACUGUGAGCCAAAGAAAACCUUCCUUCCCAAGUUGCUCCUCACAGCUGAGCACCACAGAUGGAAUCUGAGUCAGUCCUUAGCUUGUCAGGCAGGGACCUCUGUGCCUGGGCUUUGCAACAGCAGGUCAGAGACACAGCAGGACUAAGAUUUGGCCCUCACUUAUACUCCUCUCCUGGUAUGGAAAGUGACUACUUGGGAGCAGUUAUGUCAGGUGCAGAAUGGCAGUUUGUCAUCUCACAUCAAACAUAAUGGAUCUGAGAUACAAAAUCAGAGAAGCCUGGCAAAGACUUUGAGAAAUAGAACAAAACAUGAGUCCAUAAGCUGUUCCAUAAACAUGCUUUUAUAGAUGGCUGCAGAAUAGGAUGUUACGGUUACUAGAUGUACUUUUGGAAGUGAAUUUAGAAAUGCAGUCGGCCUGGUGCACUAGAACGAAGAGCUAAAAUCUAUGAGGGCUGUGGAAAGCUGAGAGUAUCCUUAGAAACAAUAGAAUUAAACAUAGCCGACUUCAUUCCUCUAAACAGAGGAGCAAAGAAAAUGGGACAGCCUAUGUUGCCUUACUCUGAACUUCUGAAAAUCCUGUCAAGGCCUAAAAGAUUAGAAUCAUCAGCCUGAAAAGAUUCAUUAGGUAGGGAGCAACUAGGGUAAAAACUACCCAUGAAGUGAAGAGCUGACUGUGGGGUUUAAAGAAAUGAAAAGGAUUUUUUUUUUUUUUAAAGAUACCAGAAAGCUUAGGGACUAUGAGAAAGAAGCUGUAAGUGAUGAGAGCUAUCAAAGAACAAUGAUCACAGGGAAGCAGACAUCAGAGAAGGUAAUACCUUUCUCUAAUGGCAGAGAUUUUAAUGGGGAAGAAAAAUGAAGAACAUUCGGAAAGAAAACCUGCUGAACUGAAACAAUGCUUUUCCCACUAAGGUCAUAGACUGGAUCGAGUGGUGUGAAGUCACUGAUGUAAUGAGAUUGUGGAACUGGAAGAACAGUUAUCUGUGAGGCCAGCUUUCGGCUCCUGAACCUGUUUGCACAGACAAAUGGUCAGAGCACAUCAAGGGAAGUAUCAUCCGUGACUAAGGAGACAGGCCCGGAGACAGGCCUCACCAGACCCGGAACUUGCAGGGGCCCGGAUCUGGGACUUCCCAGCCUCCGGAAGCUUGAGGAAUAAAUUUCUGCUGUUUGGAAGCCACUGAAGCUAUGGUGUUUUUUAUAGCAGCCCAAAUGGACUGAGACAAAAAUGAUGCACAGUAUCUUUAAAAUUAAGCAAUAAAAAACAGAACCAAGGAAAUCAACGAACACAAGGCACCCAUUUGAUGAGAUUCUCAUGACUGAAAAGUGAACAGAGUGUGACUAUUGUCUCAUAAUAACCCCAGGUGAUGGGUGGCAGCCGUCCGAACAUGAGGCUGACGGAGGUGGCUCCUGUUCUACCACACUAGCUGUUGGCAGGCUAGCAGCCAGCUCCGGAAGGAUGGUGGAAGAUCACGCAGUGCUACGGACCACCCCACGUGGAGGCCGCUGCUCCCUCCUCUGCACUGUUAGAACUAUUCCCUGGAACUUGCAAGGUGGUGGCAGCAGGGCCUUGGGUUUCUGGGUGGAGGGACUUCUGGCGGUGGAAAGCACCCUGCCCACACCUGCUCUCCAGGUGAGUGACUUGCCUGAGUGCAGGAGCUGAGCUAGGCCACGGAGGGUGAGUCUCCCCCUUCUACCCUCCUUUUGUUGGGACAGUGCUCCGAGUUCAGCUGGGCCUGAAAUUGACCUGCAGGAUCUCUUGCUGAAUGAGUCUUUCCAACUCAGGCCUAAAGCUGACAUUUUCAUCUCCAUAACUCUGAUGCCUGAGUCACUCUUUCAGUUCCAUCUGAACUCCUAGAAGGAAAGCGCUGGUGUUACUAGAGGCGCUGAGACCCUAGAUUAUAAGACGCUGCUCUAUAUCACACAGUACAUGGAUACAGGGAAUCCAGGGGAGGAGGCUCCAUAUCCUUGCUAUUUCAAUUCCGUCCUCCCCCCAAAAAACCUGUACACAAUCUGUUGUCUUAGUCUCUUAGAUCCAAACUUGUUAUACACAUUGCCACCUGGGCGGCCCGCUUUCCUCACUAGGCAGGCGCAGCGAUCUGCAGUAAUUGCUUCCGGAUUUACACUGCUCACGGCAACUCUGCUAAAUGCUCAGUAGGAAGCAUCUCGACUGUGUGUGAGAUGCAGUGAGGAGCCAAGUCAGGCUGAAUCCCUGAAGUCCUUGCAGUCUGCCCAGGGGGUUCCGCUGCUUUUCCUACAGGUGCAUGGUUCUGUGGAGCCUGGGCAGGAGUGGAGAUGCAGAGCACUGCCCGCAGCAGCUGUGACAGCAGGGACAUUAACGAGUAGACAAAGAGACAGGAAAAUAAGUUUGAAAAAGCUACAGUUGCCUAUGCAAAAAAACACUGCAAUUCCAUCCACAGGUAAUUGGAAGAGAAAUUUUAGGAGGUGAGUUUCUAUGUCCUGCGGCUUAAGAGCUAGAAGCAGUGUGAUUUAGGUUGUUAUCAACGUGACCCCAAUUUGAUUCAUGAGUUGGCAAGGAUAAGAGAAAGGUGGAGAGCAGUAAAAAUUGUCAUUGUGAUAUGUUGGUGCUGUAAUUCUGGGUAUGAAUUCAAUUGGGAACAUUAUUAUGAGUUCUUCUGCUUAGAUUUGAACAUAACUUUU